This 496-nucleotide ribosomal RNA is filed under the name uncultured bacterium. RNAcentral's name for it is "bacterial SSU rRNA". It matches the Rfam family "Bacterial small subunit ribosomal RNA", at positions 28 to 507 of the family's 1533-position model. The record is from RNAcentral.
GAUGAACGCUAGCGGCAGGCUUAAUACAUGCAAGUUGAGGGGCAGCAUGAUAUACGCGAGUAUAUUGAUGGCGACCGGCGGACGGGUGAGUAAUAGGUAGGAGACCUACCUCAUACAGGGGGAUAGCAUAGAGAAAUCUGUGGUAAUACCCCCAUGAGGUUAUAUGAAUAGAGGCAUAUAAUCAAAGCAUAAGCGAUUAUGCGGUAUGAGAGGGGCCUACUGACCAUUAGCUAGUUGGUGAGGUAAGGGCUCACCAAGGCGAAGAUGGUUAGGGGUUUUGAGAGAGAGACCCCCCACAUUGGAACUGAGAGACGGUCCAGACUCCUACGGGAGGCAGCAGUAGGGAAUAUUGGGCAAUGGGCGAAAGCCUGACCCAGCCAUGCCGCGUGAAGGAAGACGGCCUUAUGGGUUGUAAACUUCUUACUACGCGAAUAGAGGUUAGUACGAGAUACUAAUAGGAAGGUAGUGUAGUAAAAAGCAACCGGCUAACUCCGUG